Seriola aureovittata is the source of this 715-nucleotide long non-coding RNA. RefSeq lists it as uncharacterized. The record is from RefSeq and is a predicted model, not a curated record. NCBI's taxonomy places the organism in Eukaryota, Metazoa, Chordata, Actinopteri, Carangiformes, Carangidae. The transcript is spliced from 3 exons.
GUUUAUUGUGAUCACGGCAGUUGCACCUGAGGUUUCGACAGAUGCACACCGCCCAUUGUCUUGAAGUAUUUGGCGCAGCGAUACACAUCGAUGCGGUACCAUCCGUCUCCACAUGGUUUGGCUGGAUACAGAGUUUUGCAGUUGUGACGAAUCCUCUGUUUGAGAUCUGUGGAGUCAGGAAGUUAAAGGCUUCUCUCUGCAGCUCUAGUCUGUGAGCCAAUCAGAAGAGAGGAGGCUCUGACAGGAAGUCCGAUCUGUUCUGCUGGCUCUUACCUGCCUGGAUGUGAACCAGAACCAGCAGCAGAACCACAGCUGUGACCACAGCAGACCUCAUGGCUCGGAGCUCACUGACGGUGUCGAUGCUCUGGAAUAUGAUCGUAAAGUUCAGCAGUGACACAGGAUGAAAACUCAUCAUCAGCACAACAAAGACCUGGUCCAAAACCAGAACCACAGGAUAUUUACAACAUGGUCCAUCAUGAGAGCAUCAGAGCUGAAAUCAUCAGCUGAUCAGUCAGAGAAAAUAUCAGAAACUUUCCUGAUUCAAGUAAAAACUGAAAGUCCAGCGUCUCAGAGGAGAAAGAUUUGGAUCUGAGGUCGUGACCUGGUUUGUUUUGACAUCAUCAAUGAAUCAAUGAAUCAAUAAAUCAACUAUUAAUAUUGGUUAAUCAGAUUAAUACUCGUGACCUGUGACAGUGACUUUGAUUAAACUCUUCUA